ACACUGUACGAGUUUGAUCAUGGCUCAGAACGAACGCUGGCGGCAGGCCUAACACAUGCAAGUCGAGCGCCCCAGCGAUGGGGAGCGGCGGACGGGUGGGUAACGCGUGGGAACGUGCCCCCUUUCUGCGGAAUAGCCUCGGGAAACUGGGGGUAAUACCGUAUACGCCCUUCGGGGGAAAGAUUUAUCGGAGAAGGAUCGGCCCGCGUUGGAUUAGGUAGUUGGUGGGUAAUGGCCUACCAAGCCGACGAUCCAUAGCUGGUUUGAGAGGAUGAUCAGCCACACUGGGACUGAGACACGGCCCAGACUCCUACGGGAGGCAGCAGUGGGGAAUCUUAGACAAUGGGCGCAAGCCUGAUCUAGCCAUGCCGCGUGAGCGAUGAAGGCCUUAGGGUUGUAAAGCUCUUCAGUGGGGAAGAUAAUGACUGUACCCACAGAAGAAGCCCCGGCUAACUCCGUG
This 460-nucleotide ribosomal RNA is filed under the name uncultured bacterium. RNAcentral describes it as "bacterial SSU rRNA". It matches the Rfam family "Bacterial small subunit ribosomal RNA", at positions 1 to 507 of the family's 1533-position model. The record is from RNAcentral.